Cinara cedri is the source of this 315-nucleotide non-coding RNA. NCBI's taxonomy places the organism in Eukaryota, Metazoa, Arthropoda, Insecta, Hemiptera, Aphididae. The record is from the annotation of a GenBank genome assembly.
UAAAGUUUCCCACGCGGAUCAUUUAUGUUCCCGAAAAUUUGGCAAAAAAAAAAAAAAAUAGAAAGAAAAAGAAAAAAGAUAUAAUAUCAAUUAUUUGUUUUCAUCUUGCCCGAAAAGGAACACCCUUAGAUUUAAUUCUACUCUCGGAAUAUAAUAUAUUAUAUGGACAUAAACCGUUUUGUCUUCGGUAUUCCUAAGUCACGAUAGCUUAACGAGUUGCACCGUGGAAGGAUCCUAUCGGCAGAGGAAGACACAAUGAUGAAGUACACUCAAUGAAUCACAAUAGACUUUGAUCAUAUGAACAAGGAUAAAGUU